AUUGAACGCUGGCGGCAGGCCUAACACAUGCGAGUCGAGCGGAUGAAGGGAGCUUGCUCCUGGAUUCAGCGGCGGACGGGUGAGUAAUGCCUAGGAAUCUGCCUGGUAGUGGGGGAUAACGUCCGGAAACGGGCGCUAAUACCGCAUACGUCCUGAGGGAGAAAGUGGGGGAUCUUCGGACCUCACGCUAUCAGAUGAGCCUAGGUCGGAUUAGCUAGUUGGUGGGGUAAAGGCCUACCAAGGCGACGAUCCGUAACUGGUCUGAGAGGAUGAUCAGUCACACUGGAACUGAGACGCGGUCCAGACUCCUACGGGAGGCAGCAGUGGGGAAUAUUGGACGAUGGGCGGAAGCCUGAUCCAGCCAUGCCGCGUGUGUGAAGAAGGUCUUCGGAUUGUAAAGCACUUUAAGUUGGGAGGAAGGGCAGUAAGUUAAUACCUUGCUGUUUUGACGUUACCAACAGAAUAAGCACCGGCUAACUUCGUG
This 484-nucleotide ribosomal RNA is filed under the name uncultured bacterium. Its description in RNAcentral is "partial 16S ribosomal RNA". It matches the Rfam family "Bacterial small subunit ribosomal RNA", at positions 30 to 507 of the family's 1533-position model. The record is from RNAcentral.